AGUAGGCGUGAGUGAACAGAUGUAAAUGGGAGACAUAUGUAUUAAUGGGGUUACAGCUGACUGUAAUGCUAAACCGUGGCCAGAGGAGGCUGGGUGUUUCUGGAUGUGGAGUCCCAGAUGACUUCCUCUUUGAAGCUCUACCCUGCAGGUGUGGGCGGUAAGCUCCUGUGAAAUCAGGGUCCCAACGCCACAUAUGACGACUAGUUUCCAGCACAUAUGAAGGAAAACCUUUUAUUAUAAUCAGAAGAAGGUCCGAGUCACAGAUGGACUCAGGAUUCACUUCUACGGGUCUGUGGUGUUGAAGAGAGACAGGACGUAUGUAUCUACCAUCAUUUCUGUCCAUGAGCUGUGGGAGCUGACAGAAAGAUUGAGACUGAGGACCAAAGUGGCAGAAAUGAUCCGUUUCCACAUCAAACACUCGCUGGAGGGUUUUUGGAAAAUCACCGUCUGUUUGGUUCAGAGUCUUAGACCAGUCGAUCACCUGCUCUGUUCUGUUUUGCAUCACAUGGACUUUGUACACGCGAGCUGACAGGUUAAAGUCUGACUUUGUGGCCUCAGAUGUAAUGCUUCAUGCGUAACGUGUAGAAAGGUUCGGGGCUGCGGUGCAUGCAGGACUCUGGCUGCCAUCGCCUUCCUCACAGACUCCAUAUCCAGAAGCUGCAGAUGUUUAAAUGACGACCAUCCUCUCUACCGCUGACGCAUCAACCACUGAUGCGUCAGCGGUAGAUGCGUCAGUAAUUUUAUCACUUGAUUACGAAGGCUCCUGACACAUGUGAAUCUGAAUCAGAUAAGGAGAAAAUUGAUAGAUGGAUAAAGAAUAUUCUCAGGAAAUAAAG
This is a long non-coding RNA of Oreochromis niloticus (Nile tilapia), 836 nucleotides long. RefSeq lists it as uncharacterized. The transcript has 3 exons. NCBI's taxonomy places the organism in Eukaryota, Metazoa, Chordata, Actinopteri, Cichliformes, Cichlidae. The record is from RefSeq and is a predicted model, not a curated record.